GCACGGAGGAAUGUUUGCAUCCCAUCCCAAGGCAGCUGCCGGCCCUGACCCCCCAUGGCUUUGGGGGUUUGCGAGGUGCCUCAGAAACCCAUUUCGGGUUCACAGCCCCAGCGGUGCCCAGCGGCUGAAGUCGACGCUGCUGCCAGAAGGGCCGGUCUCGCGCCCACCACAUCUCCUUGGGCCAGCCCUGGCAUCCACACGGCCACUCAGCCAGCCAGCACGCUGAACGUCCUGCAGAUUAACCCUACGGAAGGGAGAACAAGGAGGGAGGAUUGCUCCGAGACCAAGCGGCCCCCUGUGCCACGGGCCGCGCAGCCAAAGAAGCACAAGUGUCAGCGCAGGGGAGAGAGCAAGGGCGUGCGGCCGGCUGGGGGAGCUGCCUUCUGGCAGGAGCCCAGGGUGACAGGGUGGCUCCAGAGACCACAGGACAGCCGGUCGCCUCGUGUCAGAAAUCCUGUCUUCCAAGAACGACAAAACGUUGCCUCGCCCUUCACUUCUCCGGUAUUUUGUUUAUCCUGCUGUGGACACCAGCAGAUCUUAUCCCGUCCUUUGCAGAUUUCCUAUCGUUUAAUGGAGGGGAGGAGAGAGAAGAGAGAGGAGACACACUUGGCUGCGUUCCUCCGCCCGUCUUUUCUUCUGUGUCAGUCCGGCAGCAGUUAG
This 660-nucleotide long non-coding RNA is filed under the name Anser brachyrhynchus (Pink-footed goose). RNAcentral's name for it is "lncRNA (ENSABRG00000020041.1)". The record is from RNAcentral. Lineage: Eukaryota; Metazoa; Chordata; Aves; Anseriformes; Anatidae.